GACGAACGCUGGCGGCGUGCCUAAUACAUGCAAGUCGAACGCUUCUUUCCUCCCGAGUGCUUGCGCUCAAUUGGAAAGAGGAGUGGCGGACGGGUGAGUAACACGUGGGUAACCUACCCAUCAGAGGGGGAUAACACUUGGAAACAGGUGCUAAUACCGCAAAACAGUUUAUGCCGCAUGGCAUAAGAGUGAAAGGCGCUUUCGGGUGUCGCUGAUGGAUGGACCCGCGGUGCAUUAGCUAGUUGGUGAGGUAACGGCUCACCAAGGCCACGAUGCAUAGCCGACCUGAGAGGGUGAUCGGCCACACUGGGACUGAGACACGGCCCAGACUCCUACGGGAGGCAGCAGUAGGGAAUCUUCGGCAAUGGACGGAAGUCUGACCGAGUAACGCCGCGUGAGUGAAGAAGGUUUUCGGAUCGUAAAACUCUGUUGUUAGAGAAGAACAAGGACGUUAGUAACUGAACGUCCCCUGACGGUAUCUAACCAGAAAGCCACGGCUAACUACGUGCCAGCCGCCGCCGUAA
This 524-nucleotide ribosomal RNA is filed under the name uncultured bacterium. Its description in RNAcentral is "partial 16S ribosomal RNA". It matches the Rfam family "Bacterial small subunit ribosomal RNA", at positions 28 to 523 of the family's 1533-position model. The record is from RNAcentral.